RNAcentral lists this non-coding RNA (30 nucleotides) under Mus musculus (house mouse). The record is from RNAcentral. Lineage: Eukaryota; Metazoa; Chordata; Mammalia; Rodentia; Muridae.
UCCAAAAAUAUAAUGAAAAGUUGGGGGUGU